AGGUUGCUCAGAGAAGUUCUGGCUGCCCCAUCCCUGGAAGUGUUCAAGGCCAGGCUGGAUGGGUCUCACAACAACCUGGUGUAGUGAAAGUUGUCCCUGU
This is a long non-coding RNA of Neopelma chrysocephalum (saffron-crested tyrant-manakin), 100 nucleotides long. RefSeq lists it as uncharacterized. The record is from RefSeq and is a predicted model, not a curated record. The transcript has 3 exons. NCBI's taxonomy places the organism in Eukaryota, Metazoa, Chordata, Aves, Passeriformes, Pipridae.